AUUGAACGCUGGCGGCAGGCCUAACACAUGCAAGUCGAGCGGAUGAAGGGAGCUUGCUCCUGGAUUCAGCGGCGGACGGGUGAGUAAUGCCUAGGAAUCUGCCUGUUAGUGGGGGAUAACGUCCGGAAACGGGCGCUAAUACCGCAUACGUCCUGAGGGAGAAAGUGGGGGAUCUUCGGACCUCACGCUAUCAGAUGAGCCUAGGUCGGAUUGGCUAGUUGGUGGGGUAAAGGCCUACCAAGGCGACGAUCCGUAACUGGUCUGAGAGGAUGAUCAGUCACACUGGAACUGAGACACGGUCCAGACUCCUACGGGAGGCAGCAGUGGGGAAUAUUGGACAAUGGGCGAAAGCCUGAUCCAGCCAUGCCGCGUGUGUGAAGAAGGUCUUCGGAUUGUAAAGCACUUUAAGUUGGGAGGAAGGGCAGUAAGUUAAUACCUUGCUGUUUUGACGUUACCAAAAGAAUAAGCACCGGCUAACUUCGUG
This 484-nucleotide ribosomal RNA is filed under the name uncultured bacterium. RNAcentral describes it as "partial 16S ribosomal RNA". It matches the Rfam family "Bacterial small subunit ribosomal RNA", at positions 30 to 507 of the family's 1533-position model. The record is from RNAcentral.